Molecule: non-coding RNA, 66 nt
Organism: Parelaphostrongylus tenuis
Lineage: Eukaryota; Metazoa; Nematoda; Chromadorea; Rhabditida; Metastrongylidae
Source: the annotation of a GenBank genome assembly
GUUGGUGUAGUGGUGUAGCACGCGUCCCCGGGUAGGAUGAAGCGGGUUCGAUUCCCGCCUGGAACC